Molecule: ribosomal RNA, 383 nt
Filed under: uncultured Thermus sp.
Lineage: Bacteria; Thermotogati; Deinococcota; Deinococci; Thermales; Thermaceae
Description: bacterial SSU rRNA
Rfam family: Bacterial small subunit ribosomal RNA
Source: RNAcentral
UGAAAGCCUGGGUGCCCCGGCGAGGGAGCCCUAGCACAGGUGCUGCAUGGCCGUCGUCAGCUCGUGCCGUGAGGUGUUGGGUUAAGUCCCGCAACGAGCGCAACCCCCGCCGUUAGUUGCCAGCGGUUCGGCCGGGCACUCUAACGGGACUGCCCGCGAAAGCGGGAGGAAGGAGGGGACGACGUCUGGUCAGCAUGGCCCUUACGGCCUGGGCGACACACGUGCUACAAUGCCCACUACAAAGCGAUGCCACCCGGCAACGGGGAGCUAAUCGCAAAAAGGUGGGCCCAGUUCGGAUUGGGGUCUGCAACCCGACCCCAUGAAGCCGGAAUCGCUAGUAAUCGCGGAUCAGCCAUGCCGCGGUGAAUACGUUCCCGGGCCUU